Molecule: ribosomal RNA, 427 nt
Filed under: uncultured bacterium
Lineage: Bacteria
Description: partial 16S ribosomal RNA
Rfam family: Bacterial small subunit ribosomal RNA
Source: RNAcentral
UGGGGAAUAUUGGACAAUGGGCGAAAGCCUGAUCCAGCCAUGCCGCGUGUGUGAAGAAGGUCUUCGGAUUGUAAAGCACUUUAAGUUUGGAGGAAGGGCAUUAACCUAAUACGUUAGUGUUUUGACGUUACCGACAGAAUAAGCACCGGCUAACUCUGUGCCAGCAGCCGCGGUAAUACAGAGGGUGCAAGCGUUAAUCGGAAUUACUGGGCGUAAAGCGCGCGUAGGUGGUUUGUUAAGUUGGAUGUGAAAUCCCCGGGCUCAACCUGGGAACUGCAUUCAAAACUGACUGACUAGAGUAUGGUAGAGGGUGGUGGAAUUUCCUGUGUAGCGGUGAAAUGCGUAGAUAUAGGAAGGAACACCAGUGGCGAAGGCGACCACCUGGACUAAUACUGACACUGAGGUGCGAAAGCGUGGGGAGCAAACA